GCGCGAUCGCGGAUAUACGGCUGCUACACGUGUAACAGAAUGCCUCGGAAGUCUCGCAUACUCUUCAUACUCGUUACAAAAUUUAUCCUUCAUUUUGCCGAAGGCGUAGCUUUCUCCGACUAAUCUACCGGUGCAGGCGGAAUCCGUUGGAAAUUAACACGAACGUUGAUGUGACGUGACGUGAUAUGAGGUGACACGAUAAGAUAAAAAAAAGGAAAAUGGAAAAAUAUGAGAUACGAGAGAGGAGGAACUACCAUCACCAUGUGAUAUAAAUUACAUAUGGAUUACAUAUGUCCGACAGUCCAUUCGACGCCACACUCGACCCAAUGUCAUCGAUGAUUAUGCGCGAGCAUCCUCUGGAACAUCAUCUCCAACGACUCCAACAUCGCCGACGUCGACGUCGACGUUCGAUUUGAACAGCAUCGCGCGAUCGAAACUAGAUGACACAAGACGAGAAACUCGAUUAAUCGCGAGAUCGUGGAGUAAACAUAGUUGCUGAUUGCGAACGCGAUCCACCUGACGACUCAUCAGCUUCAAAGCGGUUGAUAUACGAUUCGUCUGUACUAACGAUACAUGUAUUAAUAUCGUCAUAUAUGCUACUAAUUAUAAACGUUUCGAAGUAUCUAGUG
This 629-nucleotide long non-coding RNA is filed under the name Harpegnathos saltator (Jerdon's jumping ant). RNAcentral's name for it is "uncharacterized LOC112590092, transcript variant X4". Lineage: Eukaryota; Metazoa; Arthropoda; Insecta; Hymenoptera; Formicidae. The record is from RNAcentral.